GGGCCCGCACAAGCGGUGGAGUAUGUGGUUUAAUUCGAUGCAACGCGAAGAACCUUACCAGGGUUUGACAUCCUGCGAAUCUCUUGGAAACAGGAGAGUGCCUUCGGGAACGCAGUGACAGGUGGUGCAUGGCUGUCGUCAGCUCGUGUCGUGAGAUGUUGGGUUAAGUCCCGCAACGAGCGCAACCCACGUCUUUAGUUGCCAGCAUUUAGUUGGGCACUCUAGAGAGACUGCCGGUGAUAAACCGGAGGAAGGUGGGGAUGACGUCAAGUCCUCAUGGCCCUUAUGCCUAGGGCUACACACGUAAUACAAUGGUGCAUACAAAGGGAAGCGACCUGGUGACAGCAAGCAAAUCUCAAAAAGUGCAUCUCAGUCCGGAUUGGAGUCUGCAACUCGACUCCAUGAAGUUGGAAUCGCUAGUAAUCGC
This 427-nucleotide ribosomal RNA is filed under the name uncultured bacterium. RNAcentral describes it as "bacterial SSU rRNA". It matches the Rfam family "Bacterial small subunit ribosomal RNA", at positions 917 to 1345 of the family's 1533-position model. The record is from RNAcentral.